Molecule: non-coding RNA, 68 nt
Filed under: unclassified sequences
Source: RNAcentral
GCCGCUUAUCGCAGGAGCCUCCACGGGGCGAGCGGCGGGCAACAGCAUUUUGCUGGCAGAUACCUGCG